RNAcentral lists this long non-coding RNA (1611 nucleotides) under Jatropha curcas. RNAcentral describes it as "long non-coding RNA (JCUR_LNC001861)". The record is from RNAcentral. Lineage: Eukaryota; Viridiplantae; Streptophyta; Magnoliopsida; Malpighiales; Euphorbiaceae.
AAAGGUCUUCCUUAGAGCUGGUCAGAUGGCUGAACUGGAUGCCAGAAGAGCAGAGGUGCUUGGAAAUGCAGCUAGAACCAUCCAGAGACAAAUCCGCACCUACAUAGCACGCAAGGAGUUUAUUGCAUUACGACAAGCUGCUAUUCACUUGCAAUCUCAUAGCCGGGGUAUUUUCUUAAGCUGCUCUCUUUUGUUUUUUUUUUCCAAACUUUUCCUGUUUGUAUCUUGUUGCUUUCCAAUGUUAGCAGUUGUUUAACCUUUCCUGUGACAUGCUACAUUUAUAGUCCAACAACCUAUAGACUCACAUGCAUGCCAAUAUGGUUGUACUUGAAUGUGCAGCCAUUUUCUGCAAAUCUACAAGAUUUCACAUUUGCUUAUGAUCCUGGCCUUUUUGACUAUAUGAUGCAUAUAUUUCCUUCUUUUUUUAAAAAAAAAAUAUACUCAGGGUGUACUUGAGGCAAUUAGGAUCAGUUGUGCUGGAUAUCCAACUAGAAGAACUUUCUAUGAGUUUCUUUUACGCUUUGGUGUUCUUGCUCCCGAAGUUUUGGAAGGAAAGUAAGUUAUAAUUCAAAGGGCCAAAAAAAAUAAAAUCCAGCAUACUUUCUGGUUUAUCACGUCGGUCAUUUUUUGCAGAAUUUUAUUUCUCUGAUGAACUUGUCCAUGGUUUCUGUGCAGCCAUGACGAUAAGGUGGCUUGCCAAAUGAUUCUGGAUAAAAUGGGAUUGAAAGGUUAUCAGGUAAUGAAAUGUUUUGUUUUUGCUUAAGAAAGACAAUGGGGUGUGCUUGGUAUGAGGAGGCCAAGCCUGAUUCAGUCUGCUUAUGGUGUAAUGAAUAACGAGAAAACGCAGAUUAUUAAAUCUGCAUUCUCUGACUUUAUGUGGCUGUAUCACUUGUGUAUAUGUUUAACUGUGCAUGUGGCUGCUUGCCUGUGGUACACCUCAUACAUGUUGGCAAACAAAGACCAUCUUUAUGCUGUCUUAUCUAAAUAAUUCACUGUUCCUCGGUUCGAUCACAAGCUAUAGUUAGAGGUUGCUAGCUAGGUCCCCUAAUUUCUGUCCUAUAACAGCCUUUUUAGAAUUAGACUGUUCAAUUGCAAUAACAUCUGCACAUUUUAGAAAGCUGGCAAUCACAGCCACCAUGCCAACUAAGGCUUAAUAGUGUGGAACGCCUGUCACUAAAAGUCCCCAACUAUGACUACCCUUUUUUAUUUUUUUCUGUUUUGGGUUGGUUACUGCAUACAAGGGCUAGCCCAUCCACUUCUAGUCCCAUUCCUGCCCGUUUAUGUUGUUCAUAACACAUUCCACAUGUUCAUCUGUAACUUUCUCAUGUCUAUGUUGCAUCUUGCCAAUGGAUUAUUUGAGUCAUCAGUAUCAAACCAUCUGAAAAAUUGUUGGCUUCACAGAUCGGUAAGACAAAGGUCUUCCUUAGAGCUGGUCAGAUGGCUGAACUGGAUGCCAGAAGAGCAGAGGUGCUUGGAAAUGCAGCUAGAACCAUCCAGAGACAAAUCCGCACCUACAUAGCACGCAAGGAGUUUAUUGCAUUACGACAAGCUGCUAUUCACUUGCAAUCUCAUAGCCGGGGUAUUUUCUUAAGCUGCUCUCUUUUGUUUUUU